AUGCCGGAGCCAGCCCGCUUCCUUCCUGGCAAGAACAAGGACGGCAAGGACUCCACCGAGCCCAACCCUCUCCACCCAAUCUGAGUCCGGGAGGAUCAACAAGUGCUCGGGUACCUGCUCAACAACCUCUCCAAAGAGUUACUGGUGCAGGUGACCGCGAUCACCAUGACACAUGCGCUCUGGACAACCCUGGCGGCCAUGUUCUCCUUGCAGCCGCUCAGCCGCAUCAACAACAUCCAGACGGCUUUGCUUCAUGCGCAGAAGGGAACUCAGCCGGUCGCCACCUUCUUCGCCCACAUGCCCGGCCUGGCUGAUAAACUCGCCACGGUCGGCAAGCCGCUGCAAGACGACGAGAUCGUCUCCUACAUCAUCCAUGCGCAGGACAUGGAGUACCAGCCUCUGGUGUCGGCCCUCGAUGCCUACACCUCUCCCGUCUCCCUGGAUGAGUUGUUCACCAUGCUAAGCAACUUUGAUCAGCACAUGGCACUCUACCAGGGUUCGGGCGGCUUCAAGUCAUCUGCGAACGCUGCCUCUCGUGGCCACGGCGGACCUCCACGCGGCAAGACCAGAUCGGGUGGCGGUGGCAACUCCUCCAACAACACCACUCCUCACGCCGGCUGUUCCCCCUCCACCAACUCCAAGGGAUGCGGCGGCGGUGGUGGCCGUGGCUCCAACCGAGCGCGCCCUGAUGCGCCGCGCUGCCGGAUCUGUGGCAAGCUCGAGCACAACUCCCGGGACUGCUGGUAUCGCUAUGACGAGGAUGAUGAUGACUCCCAGGACGGGGACAAGGUGGCUACUGCUGCAGAUAGCUCCUAUGGCGUCGACACCAACUAG
Molecule: ribosomal RNA, 834 nt
Filed under: Triticum aestivum (bread wheat)
Lineage: Eukaryota; Viridiplantae; Streptophyta; Magnoliopsida; Poales; Poaceae
Description: partial small subunit ribosomal RNA
Source: RNAcentral